RNAcentral lists this ribosomal RNA (874 nucleotides) under Onnia tomentosa. RNAcentral describes it as "partial large subunit ribosomal RNA". Lineage: Eukaryota; Fungi; Basidiomycota; Agaricomycetes; Hymenochaetales; Hymenochaetaceae. The record is from RNAcentral.
UAACAAGGAUUCCCCUAGUAACUGCGAGUGAAGCGGGAAGAGCUCAAAUUUAAAAUCUGGCGGUCUUCUGGCCGUCCGAGUUGUAACCUGGAGAAGUGUUUUCCGCGUCGGACCGUGUACAAGUCUCCUGGAACGGAGCGUCAUAGAGGGUGAGAAUCCCGUCCAUGACACGGACCACCGAUGCUUUGUGAUACGCUCUCGAAGAGUCGAGUUGUUUGGGAAUGCAGCUCAAAAUGGGUGGUAAAUUCCAUCUAAAGCUAAAUAUUGGCGAGAGACCGAUAGCGAACAAGUACCGUGAGGGAAAGAUGAAAAGCACUUUGGAAAGAGAGUUAAACAGUACGUGAAAUUGUUGAAAGGGAAACGCUUGAAGUCAGUCGCGUCUCACGGAACUCAGCCUUGCUUCGGCUUGGUGUACUUUCUGUGUGGACGGGUCAACGUCAAUUUUGGUCGGCGGAGAAAGGUUGAGGGAAUGUGGCGCCGUUUCGGCGACGUGUUAUAGCCYUCUUCCGCAUACGUCGGCUGGGAUUGAGGACCGCAGCGCGCCUUUAAUGGCCGGGGGUUCGCCCUACGUACCGCGCUUAGGAUGUUGGCAUAAUGGCUUUAAGCGACCCGUCUUGAAACACGGACCAAGGAGUCUAACAUGCUUGCGAGUGUUCGGGUGGAAAACCCUUGCGCGUAAUGAAAGUGAAAGUUGGGAGCCUCCGUAAGGGGGUGCACCGACGCCCGGCCCUGAAGUUCUCUGACGGUGCUGCGGUAGAGCACGUAUGUUGGGACCCGAAAGAUGGUGAACUAUGCCUGAAUAGGGCGAAGCCAGAGGAAACUCUGGUGGAGGCUCGUAGCGAUUCUGACGUGCAAAUCGAUCGUCAAAUUUGGG